GUCCAGACUCCUACGGGAGGCAGCAGUGGGGAAUAUUGCACAAUGGGGGAAACCCUGAUGCAGCGACGCCGCGUGAAGGAAGAAGUAUUUCGGUAUGUAAACUUCUAUCAGCAGGGAAGAAAAUGACGGUACCUGAGUAAGAAGCCCCGGCUAACUACGUGCCAGCAGCCGCGGUAAUACGUAGGGGGCAAGCGUUAUCCGGAUUUACUGGGUGUAAAGGGAGCGUAGACGGCAGUGCAAGUCUGGAGUGAAAGGCGGGGGCUCAACCCCCGGACUGCUCUGGAAACUGUACGGCUGGAGUGCAGGAGAGGUAAGUGGAAUUCCUAGUGUAGCGGUGAAAUGCGUAGAUAUUAGGAGGAACACCAGUGGCGAAGGCGGCUUACUGGACUGUAACUGACGUUGAGGCUCGAAAGCGUGGGGAGCAAACAGGAUUAGAUACCCUGGUA
Molecule: ribosomal RNA, 446 nt
Filed under: uncultured bacterium
Lineage: Bacteria
Description: bacterial SSU rRNA
Rfam family: Bacterial small subunit ribosomal RNA
Source: RNAcentral